This 119-nucleotide ribosomal RNA is filed under the name Pteropus alecto (black flying fox). The record is from RNAcentral. RNAcentral also lists the same sequence under 1 other name. Lineage: Eukaryota; Metazoa; Chordata; Mammalia; Chiroptera; Pteropodidae.
GUCUACAGCCAUGCUACCCUGAACAUGCCCGAUCCCGUCUGAUCUCGGAAGCUAAGCAGGGUCAGGCCUGGUUAGUACUUGGAUGGAAGACCACCUAGGAAGAUCAGGUGCUGUAGGCG